RNAcentral lists this ribosomal RNA (497 nucleotides) under uncultured bacterium. Its description in RNAcentral is "partial 16S ribosomal RNA". It matches the Rfam family "Bacterial small subunit ribosomal RNA", at positions 28 to 507 of the family's 1533-position model. The record is from RNAcentral.
GACGAACGCUGGCGGCGUGCCUAAUACAUGCAAGUUGAGCGCUGAAGGUUGGUACUUGUACCAACUGGAUGAGCAGCGAACGGGUGAGUAACGCGUGGGGAAUCUGCCUUUGAGCGGGGGACAACAUUUGGAAACGAAUGCUAAUACCGCAUAAAAACUUUAAACACAAGUUUUAAGUUUGAAAGAUGCAAUUGCAUCACUCAAAGAUGAUCCCGCGUUGUAUUAGCUAGUUGGUGAGGUAAAGGCUCACCAAGGCGAUGAUACAUAGCCGACCUGAGAGGGUGGUCGGCCACAUUGGGACUGAGACACGGCCCAAACUCCUACGGGAGGCAGCAGUAGGGAAUCUUCGGCAAUGGACGAAAGUCUGAACGAGCAACGCCGCGUGGGUGAAGAAGGUUUUCGGAUCGUAAAACUCUGUUGGUAGAGAAGAACGUUGGUGGGAGUGGAAAGCUCAUCAAGUGACGGUAACUACCCAGAAAGGGACGGCUAACUACGUG